Molecule: long non-coding RNA, 853 nt
Filed under: Gopherus agassizii (Agassiz's desert tortoise)
Lineage: Eukaryota; Metazoa; Chordata; Testudines; Testudinidae
Description: lncRNA (ENSGAGG00000017666.1)
Source: RNAcentral
CUGGGUUAUGUUGAUAGGAGGUCUUUGCCCAUUGUCAUAGCUACUGCUUCUUGUGGAGUGUAGACCUGCCCUUAGUCUUUGCCUCUUUCCUGCUCUUCCCUUUUCAGACUCAAAAUGAAGCUGUGCUGGUGGUGGUCGUUUUAGGACUAAUCCCUGGAGGCUGCACAAGGUCUAAAUAUCUUUUUUAGCAGACUCCUUUCUUCAUCCACCGUUACAUCUCAUUUGUUGCGUGAGCUGACAACUGGAUACCAAAUCUGCAAAAAGGCAUGCAGCCAGGGUAAAGAUUUUGGAAAGCACAAUUAUAAAGUCCAGGACAAAAUAGCAAUGAACAUCUGCGAUAAGAGACAGUAGACAAAAAAGGACUGAGGUACAGAUCAGCACAUUGCUAUGUGGGUGUUUUGCAGCAUAAUCAAUAUUAUGUAAUGUCUGCAGGAAGGACUGUAUCACCUGAGACUCUGGGAAGGUGCCUACGUAAAGCCUGUCUUCACCUGGUGUACUUUCACUGCCACAGAAACAGAAAGUGAAAACCAAAUAAUUUAAAAAAAUAGAAAGAGGUCUCUCUACUCUGAGGGCUUAUUUCAAAAGUCUGAAAUUAAAACCACAACAACAUGGGAAAUCUGGUGAGCACAGGGAGAAGUUGAACUCCUCCUGUUUUAAGUGGGUGCAUUUGGAAAGAAAUUGUUUGGAAAACUGCAUAGGUAAUCUCUAACUAGAAUUAGAUGAAAAAGCCAUAUCAUGGAAAGAAAUGUGCAAGUUAUUUUAUGAAAACUGAGGAAAUUAUCUAAAAAACUUGGAGAAGCAUCAACUACCAUUGACCAAUAAACAGUACUGUAUAUGAAAGAGACUAGGAUGU